GCCGACGUAGCUCAGUUGGUAGAGCAGCUCACUCGUAAUGAGCAGGUCAGGGGUUCGAGUCCCCUCGUCGGCU
Molecule: transfer RNA, 73 nt
Filed under: Thermoleophilia bacterium
Lineage: Bacteria; Bacillati; Actinomycetota; Thermoleophilia
Also listed under: 1 other name
Description: tRNA-Thr
Rfam family: tRNA
About the family: Transfer RNA (tRNA) molecules are approximately 80 nucleotides in length.
Source: RNAcentral